Molecule: ribosomal RNA, 447 nt
Filed under: Triticum aestivum (bread wheat)
Lineage: Eukaryota; Viridiplantae; Streptophyta; Magnoliopsida; Poales; Poaceae
Description: partial small subunit ribosomal RNA
Source: RNAcentral
AUGAAUUUCGUGCACUAUUUACAUUUCUAUCUUGUGGAACAAGCAGGUGAAGUUGGUUAUUUACAGCCGGAACCCGAAGCGGAGGAAGAAGAAGCAGAGCCUGGAGAGGACGACGAGGGACUCGAGCACCCACAGCAGCCGGAACACGACGCUCUCGUACAAGAGCCGGAGGAGGUCGACGCGCGGCAGCCGGCCCCUCCGCUGCCGCAGCGCCGUGGACAGCGCGCGCACGCGCAGCAGCGACCCGCUCCCGGCCGCCGCCGUCAUCUUCUUCCGUAUCCACUCCCGCUUCCUCCCGCCGGCCAUCGGUGGCGAUCGAUCGAUCUUCAGGUCGCCGGUGGGAUCCGAGGUUUCAGCUCCUCUUCUGCUUCGUCUGUUUGGAUGGUAACGCCACUACGCAUGGAGUCCUUUAUGCUCGAGCGCCACGCGGUUUUGCGCAUUUUUUAG